CAGUCGCCGCGGUAAUACGUAGGGUGCGAGCGUUAAACGGAAUUACUGGGCGUAAAGCGCACGCAGGCGGUUUGUUAAGUCAGAUGUGAAAUCCCCGAGCUUAACUUGGGAACUGCAUUUGAAACUGGCAAGCUAGAGUCUUGUAGAGGGGGGUAGAAUUCCAGGUGUAGCGGUGAAAUGCGUAGAGAUCUGGAGGAAUACCGGUGGCGAAGGCGGCCCCCUGGACAAAGACUGACGCUCAGGUGCGAAAGCGUGGGGAGCAAACAGGAUUAGAUACCCCUGUAGUCCCUGUCUCUUAUAC
This 301-nucleotide ribosomal RNA is filed under the name uncultured bacterium. RNAcentral describes it as "partial 16S ribosomal RNA". It matches the Rfam family "Bacterial small subunit ribosomal RNA", at positions 509 to 807 of the family's 1533-position model. The record is from RNAcentral.